GGCUAGUCAGGUGCAGCAGUGUUUACACCUAAUUGGUCACAAUAUCAGGGUUUCUUCCUUCCUUCUUCAGUCUUUCUGCUCCACGUGACCAGCCACUUAA
RNAcentral lists this small RNA (100 nucleotides) under Saimiri boliviensis boliviensis (Bolivian squirrel monkey). RNAcentral's name for it is "Y RNA (ENSSBOG00000005600.1)". Lineage: Eukaryota; Metazoa; Chordata; Mammalia; Primates; Cebidae. The record is from RNAcentral.